GAUGAACGCUGGCGGCGUGCCUAAUACAUGCAAGUCGAGCGAACAGAUGAGGAGCUUGCUCCUCUGACGUUAGCGGCGGACGGGUGAGUAACACGUGGAUAACCUACCUAUAAGACUGGGAUAACUUCGGGAAACCGGAGCUAAUACCGGAUAAUAUAUUGAACCGCAUGGUUCAAUAGUGAAAGACGGUUUUGCUGUCACUUAUAGAUGGAUCCGCGCCGCAUUAGCUAGUUGGUAAGGUAACGGCUUACCAAGGCAACGAUGCGUAGCCGACCUGAGAGGGUGAUCGGCCACACUGGAACUGAGACGCGGUCCAGACUCCUACGGGAGGCAGCAGUAGGGAAUCUUCCGCAAUGGGCGAAAGCCUGACGGAGCAACGCCGCGUGAGUGAUGAAGGUCUUCGGAUCGUAAAACUCUGUUAUUAGGGGAGAACAAAUGUGUAAGUAACUAUGCACGUCUUGACGGUACCUAAUCAGAAAGCCACGGCUAACUACGUG
Molecule: ribosomal RNA, 497 nt
Filed under: uncultured bacterium
Lineage: Bacteria
Description: partial 16S ribosomal RNA
Rfam family: Bacterial small subunit ribosomal RNA
Source: RNAcentral